GAACGCAAACGCGGCACUCUACGUGACAAAGGGGAAGGCUCAUAUACAGAUGGUGAACGACAACGGACAAAGAGUGUUCGACCAAGAGAUCUCCAAGGGACAGUUACUUGUCGUGCCACAAGGCUUCGCGGUCGUGAAACGUGCCACAAGCCAACAGUUCCAGUGGAUCGAAUUCAAGAGCAACGACAACGCGCAGAUCAACACACUCGCGGGACGCACCUCAGUCAUGAGAGGUUUACCACUUGAAGUUAUAUCCAACGGGUAUCAGAUCUCACCCCAAGAAGCUAGAAGUGUUAAGUUCAGCACCCUUGAGACCACAUUGACUCAAAGCAGUGGUCCUAUGGGCUACGAUAUGCCUAGGGUCGAGGCUUGAAGCAUGAGUUAGUGAUGUAACAGCGUUUGAAUGUUCGGUUUUGUACGGUUUGUGAUAAAAAUAAUGUACAAAAGAAGUUCUACGCUUUAAGGCAGCUGUUUUGUUUUUGAGUUUUUAAGGACGCCUAGUUUACAACAACGACCGUCGUAUAGAAGCGAUCGUUGACACAGGCAUGUAACUCUUUGCUGAAUAAAAUCAUAGUUAAUCUUUCUCCU
Molecule: long non-coding RNA, 588 nt
Filed under: Brassica napus (rape)
Lineage: Eukaryota; Viridiplantae; Streptophyta; Magnoliopsida; Brassicales; Brassicaceae
Description: long non-coding RNA (BNAP_LNC016762)
Source: RNAcentral